This 28-nucleotide non-coding RNA is filed under the name Mus musculus (house mouse). The record is from RNAcentral. Lineage: Eukaryota; Metazoa; Chordata; Mammalia; Rodentia; Muridae.
UGCUAGGAUCUUUUUUUUUUCAGGUGGA